GUGCAGCCCUAAGUGGGUGGUAAACUCCAUCUAAGGCUAAAUAUGACCACGAGACCGAUAGCGAACAAGUACCGUGAGGGAAAGUUGAAAAGCACUUUGAAGAGAGAGUUCAAGAGUACGUGAAACCGUUUAGGGGUAAACCUGAGAAACCCGAAAGGUCGAAGGGAGAAAUUCAUUCGCGUUUCGCAGUCGGCGUGAGGCGAUCGAGUGACGGAACGCGUCUUCGGACGUUUUCUGCACCUUUUGUUUUUCGAUCCGAUAGCGAACGCGUGCACUUUUCUCCUGGUAGGACGUCGCGAUCCGUUGGGUGUCGGUCUACGGCUCACGGUGGAGCCCGGAUGUACGGCUUGCCGUCACGUCCGGACCCGUGUGUCCCGGCUGACUCGCUCGACGGUAUACGAAUG
Molecule: ribosomal RNA, 404 nt
Filed under: Liophloeus lentus
Lineage: Eukaryota; Metazoa; Arthropoda; Insecta; Coleoptera; Curculionidae
Description: partial large subunit ribosomal RNA
Rfam family: Eukaryotic large subunit ribosomal RNA
Source: RNAcentral